Molecule: long non-coding RNA, 1169 nt
Filed under: Heterocephalus glaber (naked mole-rat)
Lineage: Eukaryota; Metazoa; Chordata; Mammalia; Rodentia; Bathyergidae
Description: lncRNA (ENSHGLG00000048319.1)
Source: RNAcentral
GCGAGAGCCAGGCCCAGUCACAGCCAGCUAACGGAGUCACAGUGCCUAGAACAGUAAGAUUCACUCAGAGGCUGCAUGGGAGCAGAAUGACCAGAGAGCAGCCUAGGCAAAGUGAAGUCUUGGGGUAGAGGCCAGAGUACGAAGAGCCGAGGGCUGAUUUGAGAGUUGGCAGGGGCAGGAGCAGGGGAACAGAGUGAAGAAGGAAGCCCAAAAGAACCAUUAGGAUGCACUUCAGUCCAGUGAGAAGGGCCUUUCUGGGCUCAGAAUGAGCAGGUCUGGCCCAGACCCAGACCCUCUCGGAGUCAACCUGGUUGGUUGCCCUGUCUGCUUGGCUCUUGCAGAUACUCAGGUAUAACAUAUGAACCCGACUGUGGUGAAGUCUGGCAUGCACAGCGUGUCUUGUGUGAGACACAGAGCUGGAUACUGGAUACUGUUUAAGAGAUGAAGGAAGAAACGUAAUUUUGGCAAUGAAGGAGUUGCUACACAGAUGAACUGAGUUAAGUUCUAUUGCUGAAAUAUGUCCUGGAACAUGGCCAGAAGCUCGGCUUCCAGCUCUUCCGUGCUCCCCCAUCAAGAGACCCUCCCGGAGCUGCUCACCACUCGGUGUGGACUCCGAGUUGUAGGACUGGAGCCAAAGCAUGAACCGCUUUUUUGAAAGCUUGCCGUCAUUCAAGGCUUGGAAUGAAGCCUUCUUUUCUCCUUAUGAAUCCUUCUCUGAUCUUCGCAGCUAGAGUCCUAGACCACAAGAGACCUCAGUGUACCUCACCUAUGGCUCUACUCCAUUUGCUUCCCACUGUAGUCUUCACAGAACAUUUUAAGUUGCAUUUUUGGACCCCAUUGUGUUAUUUUUUAAGGGAAGUAGGUGGCUCAUCCUUUUUAUUUCAUGAUCUCUAUUUUUUUGUUGUUUGUUUCUAUGUCUUAUUUUAUUUUAUUCUAAGAUUUGAAGACAUUAAGGAAAAGUCAAAAAUGGAGAGGAGGAAGAACUAGUAAUGACAGAGUCCGAGGGAGGAAGAGCAGGAACAUGAUGACAUCAAAUGUGCGUUCAGGAGAAGAACGAGGUUAUUCCUCAUGUUAGAAAAGAGUCCUGUUAACUAAAGUCUGAUUCUGUCUCUUGGCUUCAUGGAUCCAAGUACGUUAAUUAUCUGCACUAAACCUCAACUUAUUUCAUG